This is a long non-coding RNA of Oreochromis aureus, 2496 nucleotides long. RefSeq lists it as uncharacterized. NCBI's taxonomy places the organism in Eukaryota, Metazoa, Chordata, Actinopteri, Cichliformes, Cichlidae. The transcript is spliced from 3 exons. The record is from RefSeq and is a predicted model, not a curated record.
CAGCAAAAAGACAAGGCUGGCAGCGUCUGUGACAAGCAGGGGAGUUGGCAAUGGGCCUUUGGACCUCAAGGAGAAUGAUCCAACUUCAUCAUCAGUGAACACUGGCAGAGGUAUGCUUGAAAUUCUGAAUCCCUCCAACCACAUUGUGCUUAAUGUAACACUCAUUAAAUACUUAAUCUUAGACAUUCCCUUAUGUUAGAGUUUACGUAACACUGGUACCAUAUUACCAUUGUCCUUUCUGACACUGUGUGAAACCAAAUUGGUUCUCAAUUGUGUCCCUUCAGCUGAAUUUGAAGCCAGAUACAUCCAGGAGCACCAACUUGGUGAAGGAGGAUUUGGAUGCGUGUUUGCUGGCUAUCGUAAAGCAGACAAUUUACCGGUGGCCAUAAAACACAUUCCAAAAACCAAGAUUUUCUGGGAAAACAAGGCUGAGGAUGGGAAGAGUCUUUCAGUGGAGGUGGCUGUUAUGUUGGAACUCCAAGAUGGAAAAACUGGACAGCUGCUGAACUCGACAUCCGUGUCCUUGCUGGAUUGGUACAAUCUCCAGGAGGAACAAAUUCUGGUGCUUGAGCGACCAAUCCAUGCACAGGACCUCUUUCAGUUCAUUGAGGUCAAAUGGAGGUUGUGUAAAGGAGGGCAUGGCCAAGGUAAGAUGAUUGGGGGUCUUUAUAAGAGGGUAUUAAACCUUUCCAAUGCAGAUACUAAAUUGCCUGUAACCUUUUACUGUUUCUACCUUUGAAGGCCUCAGACAAGUUACCUGUAAUUCAUCUAUGCUGAAGAGGUGACUGAUUUGGGAGGGGACCCAAACCCCCCCCCCCCAAAAAAAGGAGGAGCCCCAGCAAGGUGGCCAUUAUUUUAGAGCCCUGGGAACAAAUUCUGUUGCUGAGGGGCCAAUCACUGUACAGGACCUCUUUCAGUAUAUUGAAGUUAUCAGAGUUUGCCUAAAGGAGGACCUGACAAAGGUAAGAUGCUCGUGAGUCUUUGAUCAUAUGUAUUAAGCAGUCAAACAGUCAAGAGACAGACCUGAGCAGAUCUUAUGGGAAGCACUGAACCAGCUCCUGAGUGGAGGAUAACAAGUCCAUUUCACUAUAGAUUCACUCCAAAGAUCAACCAGACUCUGCAGGAACCCAGCACCCAACCCUUCAUCUUGGAAGUUCAAGAACAAAGCACAGUUGGCAUAGCACAUGAAGGUUCAACUUUAAGGUUCUACUAUCAUUAUCAUCCGCUUGAUUACAAACCGUGUCAUCAGGGCACCACAACACCAUCGCUAUAGACAGAGCGGCCAGGGAAGCAGGGGAACAUAUCAAGGCCCUGAGUAAACUUGGUCAUCCCAGCUGGACAUUUGUCAAAUCUGGGAAGGCGCUUAAAGCACCAGGCAAUCCAGGAGAGAAGGACAACUGCUGCCCAAGCAAAAACCCCUAGUGAUCCCUAGUGUCAGGAGUAUCAGAACAGUUGAGACAUUUUUUUCUAAACACAAUGUCUUUGUGGCUUUUAAACUCCAAAACAAGCUACGCCAAAAAUUGGUCCACCCCAAGGAUCAGGUCCCCCGAUACAAACAGUAAUGUAGUGUACACUGUUAAGUGCCAAGAGGGUCGCCAUGAUUGGCAAAACCAAACAACCUCUGGCAAAGCAGAUGGCACAAGACAGAAAAGCUAACUUGUCAGGCCAAGACUCCGCUGUCUAUUUAGACAGAGGCCACUGGACAAUUCUUUUGAUGAGGAUGUAUACAUCAUGGACAGAAGAAUGCUGGUUUGAGCAAGGAGUCAAUGAGGCCGCUUAUGUGAAAAGGGAAAGACGAUCUCUGAAUCGAGGAGGGUGCCUAGGUACAUCUGUCAACAUCUUACAAUGCUGUGAUUGCAGCCAUUUAACUCUGAAUGGUACUCAUGGCCAUGAUCAAUGGUAUUUGAUCAAUGUCAUGACAAUUUGCAUGUUAAUGAUCAAGGAGCUGACCUCUCAGCCCACUGUUCAUUUAGUGGGCUAGUUGUACAAAUGUACUGUUUAUAAGGUUGGGGGAAGCCUUCAGUCAGCUGAGACUAAAGUCACUUAGAUGAGUGACGAAACAUUUCUCUCACUGAGAACGCCGUGUCCAGAUGAACAGAAUCAACCUGUUGGGAGUCAUUUAAGUGAACUUGCAUUGAAUGCAAGCCUUUCCCUUCACUAAGCCCUGCCAGCUGAGUUGGAGGCUCUUGUUUGACUUCCAUAGGUUUCACACUAGCCUGUCACAAGUUGGGUUGUGUGAGAAAUUGCAGACAUGGACUACAGGGACCAAAUACAUUUUCAUACUUAAAAAACUCACCUUAGUGGGCAAGUCUUUGGAUCAGUGUUUUGAUUUGCAUGCAUGCUUAUAAUUUGAUUCUUUAGUUUUAAAACAUAAGCCUUGGGAUUAUUAAAAUAUUCUAAUAUAAGGAGUAUCUAUGUUUAAUUCUACAAUAGUGUAUAAAUUUGAAUGUAAUAAAAUGGCCAAUAUGUCAACCAAUUUAUGAAAUUUAUAUUUCU